GAGUUUGAUUAUGGCUCAGGAUGAACGCUGGCGGCGUGCCUAAUACAUGCAAGUCGUGCGGGCCUUUAAUGAUUCUUUUUACGGUUUGCGGCAACUACUCAUCGGCUGAUGAGUGAUUGCUGCAGACCGAAUCAACUGGCUAGCGGCGGACGGGUGAGUAUCGCGUGGGAACGUACCCCAGACUGAGGGAUAAGCUCCAGAAAUGGAGUCUAAUACCGCAUAACCUCUACGGAGAAAAGCUUCGGCGGUUUGGGAACGGCCUGCGUCCGAUUAGCUUGUUGGUAAGGUAAUGGCUUACCAAGGCGAUGAUCGGUAGCUGGUCUGAGAGGAUGAUCAGCCACACUGGAACUGAGACACGGUCCAGACUCCUACGGGAGGCAGCAGUAGGGAAUCUUCCCCAAUGGACGAAAGUCUGAUGGAGCAACGCCGCGUGCAGGAUGAAGGCUUUCGGGUCGUAAACUGCUUUUUAUGGGGUGACGAUUAUGGACGGUAACCCAUGAAUAAAGGAUCGGCUAAUUCCGUGCCAGCAGCCCGCGGUCAUACGGAAAGAUCAAGCCGUUAUCCGGAA
RNAcentral lists this ribosomal RNA (568 nucleotides) under uncultured bacterium. RNAcentral describes it as "bacterial SSU rRNA". It matches the Rfam family "Bacterial small subunit ribosomal RNA", at positions 9 to 550 of the family's 1533-position model. The record is from RNAcentral.